AUGCCAUACCGUCCUGGACUUCCGGACGGAGUCCGGUCCCAGGGAGUGGACGUCAGAGCUCUCCGGAGGCUGCCCAGGCCAGGUUCAAAGGGAGGGAUGAACCUCACGACAUCCGUUCCAAAGAAAUCCCACCUGCCACUGGCAUGCCCAGGCUCGUCUUCCUCACAUACCAGCCUCCCAGGCAAGUCUCCAAAAGCACGGUGCGCAGGCAGCUGCAACAGUUUGCUUUCUCUCAAUGCUUUGGACCAGGAAGACGCGGAGUUGAGGAAGAAGGCACGGUCAACCCCCAUGAUCUGGACCCCCCCGCAGUUGGCUGUGAUCCUGAAAGGUCAUCUUAUCCACCCCUCUGCAGGAAAAGCAUGGCUUUCCUUGGCCCUGGAAAUCUGGCCUGGCAGAUUUUCUGAAGUGCAGCUCCUGAUGCUUGCAGAGAAGAUGGACACCAUUCAUGGAACAGACAAGCAUAUCUACGAAUUCCAAAAUAUCCAGGGGCAAGGGUGGUACAACAGCGCUGUGCUCCUAUCUGAAUCAGAAAGCAUGACGAUUAUGAAAACAACAACAAAUAACCCACAGCAGUGACGGCUCCAGGGGCCAGGACUGAAACUCCAAGUCUCUCCCCACCUUCCCUUUGGGUGGACCCUCAGAAGGAACAAGCUGCUACUGAGGGGCCCGUUACACAACUCAAAGAACAAUCUACCCUCCCCCAGGCCAACAAAUGAACCUUUCUCCAAUUGCUACAACCCCUGGGAUGGAGCUCUGGUGGUUUCACUUCCAGCUAACGCCUCCAUUUCACCAGAAACCAUUUUCGAACUGUGUCUUUUGCCCUUUGCACACUGAGCUAGCAAGUUAUUGCCUGCCAGUUUAGAAACACGACUGACCACCACACCAGAACUAUCUUCCAAAAGCUGGAGUACAGAGAAGUAGAUCGAGGCACAGACCAUCCUUUGCCAACUCUAUAAAUACAUUCCAAAAUCAAGUCGCCAUGAAAAUCUACUGACUGUACUACCAAUCAGAUUAACCUUUUCCCCCAGAUCCUGGACAGAAGGAUGAGACCCCCUACAGACUCUCUACAGAGGCACCCCUGUGCCCUACAGGUGCUUGGAGUCUCCGCACAGUCCCGGGCACUGGCGAAGUGGAGGAAACAGGCUCCAGCAGCUCACUCCCGUCUCCAGCACCUGCAGCAUCUUCACGUUUGGGUACCAAGGCCGAGGGGUUCAUUCCGUCAUGAACCACCUCCAUAUGCUUCCUUGAAAGCUCAUCUGGUGCCACAACUGGACACCCGUCUCAAGGCUAUAGCCAAAGACUUUGGAAGAAGUGGAUAAAGGAGAAAGUUGAGGUCUGUGGUUUCAGCUAUCCCAAGGAUCUGAUUCCACUGCCAUUUAAAGUCCCUCUGGCUUCUGCCAACAGCAGCUCCCUCUAGAUGUGAAUUCAACCUCUCAGCUUCCUUGUGAUGCGAGCAUCACAGCAAAGCCUCCAAUGCUUAUGCUAAGCCCUGCGCAGACCUUCCUGGAUCUCCUGCGAAUGAACCACCAACUUGCAUUUGCUAUGCAGAUAUGCUUCCUAAGUCAGGGGCUUCCUAAAUCAGAGCAGGUUUCAUGAGCCACGUUCCAGGGCUCCUCCCUCACAUCCUCCAUGGCUCAUUUUUCUAGAUCAAAAUCUACAACUCAUGAGUAGGAAGAAAGUCACUUAAGGCUGACUGCCCUGACUUAUCAUUUAAUCUACACAGAGCUAUUUAUUUACUAAUUACAUUCUGGGCCUGACAGCACUGGCCAGAAAAGAUUUGUUUAUUCAUUACCAAAACCAAUUAAUGUAAACAGAAAAUAAAAUCUUAAAGGUUACUCUUGGGAAGGACUUUACUAAUGGUGUCGGAUGAGCCCCUAAUUAAAUGAGGCAAAUGAAGCCCGAAGAAGCAAAGGGAUUUAGGGCACAUGGGUAGCUUCCUUGCCACUGUUCAAUGGCACCCCAAAAUUCCAGUCCUGUGGUGUGAAUGGGACUGACCCCGUGGGUCGGCUUCUAUAGCGAAGGAUGAGCAUUAAAGAAAGAGCGGGCAGGUCCAGCUAGGACCCACUGCACAGGCUACUACAUGUCCUCUGUCAUGUAGAUGCGUGAAAUGGCUCUUCUGUCAUUUGCAACCAAAAGCUUCCCAACAGAUAACCGUGCAGAGUCAGUAGCAAUGCCAAUUUCUUGACUCCCCGUACACAGAUAUUUCUGCCACAGGAGAGUCUUUAACAUAGCAGAAUAGAAAGCCAUAUUUUGACAAAUUCAGGGGCUGAACUUGGUAAGAAUCAAAAGAUUUGGAGGAAAUACAGGAAACUAAAGACCGUCAUGGUGCUCUUUAAACAUAUGGCUUCACGUGUAACUGUGGCUACAUUAAUAGAGUAUUACUGAUGACUGAAGAAUCCAUGAAUGGAGAUUAACUGUAGAGAAUUCAUGGUUAAUGAGAGAGGACCACUCUAUUUUUUAAAUAUAGUAUGUAUGUAUGUAUGUAUGUAUGUAUGUAUUUUUGAGCGAGAGCAAGCCCAAGAAGGUAGGAGGGCAAAGAUGGAGAGAGAAAGAAUCUCAAUCAGGCUCCAUGUCCAGUGCAGAGCCUGACAUGGGGCUUGAUCCCAGGACCCCAAGAUCAUGACCUGAGCUGAAAUUACGAGUCAAUUAACCAACUGAGUGACACAGGCACCCUGAGGACUAUUCUAUUUAUAACUUGAGAACAAAACCUAACUCCCACUUCAGUCUCAGAGUUGGUCCUAAAGCUGGGCUCAUCCCUACCUCCUGGAGGGACAAUGUCCCAGUUUUGUAUUUCCAAGCGCCCAGCUCCAAAUCAGGUGCCAAUGGAGGGAUGAUGCAGGUCUCGACAGCUAAGUCUAUUGAGUAGUUACUAGAUGAAGACACCGUACUGUGUCUUAUCUGCUUUAUGUCACUGAAUGCUCCCCGGCGAUCAACGUGAGGUAGACUGAUCAGAGUAGACAAUUAACAUGUGUUAAUGACACGGAAGAAGUGACCAUCAGGCACACGGAACUCUUGUAAGAUUAAAUUUAUUGUCAAUGAGAACACAUUCUUUAGUAAUCCUAAAACUAUAAAAUUUAAAAAGAUGAGUAUCAAUAGACGUAAUAAUCAGACAGGAUCCAGUUAACAUUUAUAAAGAAGGAUAAUUUGCCAGCAGAUCCUGGGGCUUAAAGCAUCCGCACCCCUCGCUCACGUGGCCCCUUCCGUGGGCCUGGGAAGGACCCCAGCCACGUGUGGAAUGAGCACCUUCGGUAUUUAAGCUUAGUCAUCACACAAAAACACUUAAAUGUCCUGAAGCCCUAUGGCUUAUAUAUGAAAAAAACCUGAGAAAGGUUCCCCGACAUCUGACAAUAAUCCGAAAGAUUUACAUGACAUUACCAAUAACUGCUUGUAGAGCAAACAAACUUUUUCUCCUAAGCCAUCAAGAAUGGAAAACAAGCUCCAACCAACCAUGCUAGAGGAAUGAAUGAAUUAUCUUGCUGUUCUCUUGAGGGAAAAUGGCAUUCUAAAAUCGCUGUCAUAGGAAGAAGUGGUCAAAGAGCACACAGCCCAAAAAAAUGUAGGAAAAGAAAGUAAUGCAGACAUAUGUGAAAUAGCUAAUUGGUAAUAAUAUUUGUGUUAUUUUCUGGAUUUUGUGAUUCGGAUGUCUACUUUGAAAUACAUAUAUAUUAUUUUCUUUCAUCAUGUGAAAUAAAUGCUCAUUCGUAAACCUGGUU
RNAcentral lists this long non-coding RNA (3713 nucleotides) under Mustela putorius furo (domestic ferret). Its description in RNAcentral is "lncRNA (ENSMPUG00000028446.1)". The record is from RNAcentral. Lineage: Eukaryota; Metazoa; Chordata; Mammalia; Carnivora; Mustelidae.